This 66-nucleotide transfer RNA is filed under the name Odontotermes sp. K TB-2017. RNAcentral describes it as "tRNA-Leu". The record is from RNAcentral. Lineage: Eukaryota; Metazoa; Arthropoda; Insecta; Blattodea; Termitidae.
UCUAACGUGGCAGAUAAGUGCGGUGGAUUUAAGCUCCAUAAAUAAAGUUUUCAACUUUCAUUAGAA